UUUUUUUUUUUUUUUUUUCAUUUUUCAAGACAAAUAGGGGCCUGUUUGGUUGAACCAAAAAAGUUUUUCGCACAAUUAUUGCAUAGGUGGUGGUGUUCUCUUGAUACUACUGCAUUUGCAUUUAGAUAGGAGAUUAUUUGAAAUAAUUAAUAUAUUAUUUUUUUAAUGUGAUGUAUGUAAGAUAAAAAAAUAAUUAAAAUGAUAAAAAGUUGUGUUGAAAAUGUAUUUAUGAUGUAAAAAAAUAAUUUUUUGACAAAUAAUUUCUAUCCAAACACACAAUAUACAUUUUGAGAGUUACUUUUUUGAUCUACUUCUUUUGAUGCCAAUUAGAGAAUCUAAUUGGAAAGAGCUAUCUGAAUGCAGUCGCAAUUUAAUUUUUGAAAAUAAUAAUAAUGUUUUGGACAUAUUUUUCAACCACGCGUAUGCUUGCAUAUUAAGUUAUAACAACAUAUGACAAUCCGACAAUCUGAAAAGAAGAGUAGUGCAGUCACAAUCAUAAUAUAAUUCCAUAUCUAUAUUUAUUAUUUCAGAGAGUUUUCCUUAAGAGUAAUUCAACAUAAAGUAGUUCAGAAAAACAAAAAAACUACUACUUAUAUAAUGGUAUUCAAGAGGGCAAUUUCAUUAAUCAAUUGCACUAUUGGAAGUUCCGUGGCAUCUUUAACAUCAACUAAUUGUGAACUCAUUUGGAUUGUUUUUUUUUAUAAAUUUUUGAAAAAAUAUAUAUACUGUAGUGAUUUGAAAUAAAUGAAAUUUAAAAAUAUAUUCACAGAAAAUAUUUUCUGUGAAUGGGAGAUACUAACAGAACCUAUAACGGUCCAAAAGGACCAAAAUAUUUCAUAUUAGUUGAAAAUGUAAUGCAAAGCUAAUCAGUGGUCAAGGGGGAAAUUAUUACCAGCUCAAGUAUGUUAAACCACUUUUUGGUUAGUGAAUCAAUUAAAGAGGGCUACUGGGCUUAACAUAUAGCUAAGGCCUAGCAAUCGAAGGCCAUCAAAUUAACACGGCACAACUUUUGAAUCUUUAAUCAAUAAUAAUGAAUGUUUGCCAUUAGCGCAAAAACGACAUGGCUCUGUCAAAUUCAUGUCCUUAUCCCUAGCCCACCUUUGGACCCGCCCUUAUCUCCACCUCAACCGCCUUGCCGCCGUCACCGCCACAAUCCCCAUUCCCGCGGCCCCUUCCCCAUCGCCGCUUUGUGGGAAGAAACAAAAAAGAUGCAUCAUUUUUCUUUUAUUUUCCUGUUCAUGUCUUCCCGAUAGAAAAUUUUCUCCAUUUAAACAGGGGAUAUAUUGGUUAAUACCACAUCAUAGGGUGUCUUUUAUUUUUCCCCAUUUUAAUAGUUGUACUUUUGUACAUGCAAAAUUUUCAAAGCAGGAACAAGAAUGGUUGUCAUGAGCAAGCAUUUCAGAAGGUUCAUGAACAUAAUUAAUAUCCCGUUUGGAUUGCAUUUUUCAUGAUUUUCCAUGAACCAUGAAAAAAUUACUGUAACGAUUUAAUGUAUAUGAGGGAAAAAGGUAAUAGGGAAAUGUAAUCACGGAAAACGAUACAAUUUUCCGGCAGAAAAUGACAAUCCAAACAGGGCAUUAAAUAAAUCUUAAAAUUUUGAAAAUAUUUAAGAAUCAAAAUAUCAUUGUGUCGAUCGAUUUUAAUACCAUAUGUAAUGCUCGUAAACACGUGCUCUAUGUUUAUAUUGCCUUCAACGCAAUUUAUGUUGCUCUACAUAUUUACCAUUUGUUCAAAUGACCAAACCGUCUCGUUUAUAAUUUGUUCAAAUAAACAUAAAUUGUCUCCAAACAUCAUCGUUGCACUUACUCGACGUCCAAUCUUCUGGUCAUCAUUAGUAGAUUUGUUGAUGGUGCAGGGUUAGCCCAAACAUGGCCUCUUCAAACCCGAAAUUAACGGGUCAAGCCACAUGCAAUACAAGGCUAUCCACAGCUUAAUGGAGAUAUGAUGUCUAAUUUAUUGUAAGUUGAGUUUAAGCUUCAUCACCCUCAACCCAAUUAACGCGCAAAUACAAUUUGAUAAUAAUUUUAUAUUAGAUAUAUCAUGUAUGGUAUUAUCUUAUACCACAAGAUAUAAAUGAAAGAAAUCAAAAAAAAAAAAAAAAUCAGAAGAAGGGAGUGGACUGGGUGUGGACUGAGUCCAAAUUAAUCGCGAAGCAUGAAUGUCUUUGCCACUGCCACUUGAAAGUUCAAGACCGGGUAUUUGUAGUACGUUUCUAGUUCGGGGGUUAUUAAAGCCCAGCCCAGCCCAGAAAGCGUGAUUAACAGCUACCACUAAUCGCUAGAUAUGGCCAUACAAAAAAUCCACUAAUGGCAGUUGCAGUAAUUUUGAAAUAAACAGAAGGCCAACUUUGGGAAUGCAGAUGAUACGGACUUUGAAGGAGGCAACAGUAGACAUAGCCUUAAGGUUCACAGCUUUUAAAACUUCGCGCCAGCAAGGCACGUGAAAGCAGCCUGGUGUCUGAGACUCUGACUCUGGGGGUCUGAGUCUGUGGGGUCUAACCUGUACGAUCUAAAUCUAUAGUACUGCAACUCCCUAACCAUACGUACGAUAACAACAUUAAAGGACAAAAACUUUUACUAGUAGUAGAAUAUUAGAUGUACUUGUGGGAAAUGCAUUUCGCUUCUACUGCAAAUUAAGCAGAUUGAGAUGGGGCUGGGUUUUGACUUCUGAGUGCCAAUUCUUGGGUCGGUGGUAGCCUAGCCUGUGAAUUAUUCAUCUGUUUUUAUAUAAUUCUAUCUAAGCCCUUGCGUUGGUAGCUGGUGAAUCUGUUAUAUAUAUAUAUAUAUAUAUAUCUUUUUGCAAAUUAUGCUUAAUUUGAAUAUUCGUUGCGUAAUAUUUUCCUUUUUCAUAGCUUGAACCCCAUGGAAAGAUUAUCAAUCUUCACAUUUUUCGACCAAAAUUAAAGCUGUCUAUCAUUAUAGUACCAAAAAAAAAAUUACAAAUUUGCCAAAAAAAAAAAAUAUUUUAAAUUGUCAGUGUACGAUACUCUUAAGUGAUGAUGAUAAAACUAAAUUAUGAAUGAUAAUUAACAUCUCAAAAUUUAUACUUGAAAAUACUAAUAAUUAUACCUUUAUCUUACGAUACUAUUUAUGGCUUUUUUCAAAUACGCAUAGACUUAAAAAAAAUAAAAGAAAUAUGGAAGGUUUUCUUAAACUUACAAAAUACAAAAAAUAAAAGCCAUCAAUAGCAAUCUACCUACUUACACAACAUGGUGGUAAUAUCACUCUAUCCUGUGUGCAAAAGGCAUUCAAAUAUCCAAUGACCACAUAAAAGAUGGAUUUUAAAAAAUACAAAAAAGGAGUAUUGAGUUUAUUUUCUUUUGAAUCAUUUUGAAUAUGUGAAUAAAUGUCACACCGGAACAUAUCAAAUUGUUAAACAUUGUGUAUACUUUUCAUUAUAAAAUUUCUAAAUAUAAAUUAAAUUUUUACAUAUAAUUGUUAAAAUUUUUGGAGCAUUCAAAGAAAAUUAUAAAACACAUUCCUUACUGUUAGCAUUAGAAACUUCUAAAUAUCUGGCUUGAAUUUUGAUUGAGCCCCUUUAAAGAAAUCUUCAUUUGUCCCUUCAAACAAGAAACUUGAUUCUACUUUUGCCAUAUUCUGAAAUCUAAUUUGCUAAUUUAUUUUGCCACAUUUUAAUUCCAACCAGUAUGUCCAUAUUGGCAAGUGCCUUCUCAUAGCUAACUAACGUUUCAUGUGAUACUAAAACCGCAACUGCUAUAAUCAGCCUGACGAACAAUGAUGGACGGUUAUUAACUUACUAUCUUGUUUUGAAAAUCAACUCUAUCGGAAGCGGUCUUAUAAAGUCACAAACAUCAUCCGUAAUUUCUUUGAAAGAAGGCUUAAGAUGCAGGGACUGAUCAACCCAGACGGCAUUGGCAAAGCUGAUGCUAGGCCCGCCGAAAGGACCGCCGUCGGCCGCGAAGACAACGUCGACUUAGGAAAGAGAGGGGCUGGUCUUGGGUUGGGCAUUUGGAACCCGAGGCAAAUCAGGCCCAAGAGUAGUUGGAUGAACAGCGCACAGAACAGAAAGUUACAACAUUUUUGGCAUCCAGUAAAGCUUCACCCUCUUAAAUUCAAGCUUUGAACCAGAGGAAAACAAGUCAUCAUCAGAUACUGCUAGAUAAGUUCACGUUUUGACCUAUAGGCUAUAGGGAAACAAUGCCGAAAACACAACACUUAAAAUUCACGUAUAGGAUCUCUGAACAGAAGUACCUGAAAACAACUGGAAGCAACAUAACAUACAGUACAUCGGAAAGCCGAACUUAUAGGGGUUAGACAAUAGCAUUAUACAUACCAUUAACCAGACAAAAUAAGCUACAUGUCAAAAGACCGAAACAGCAACCCAUUCUCCAGCGGUUGUUAAGAAUCAAGAGGAUUAACCACACUACCAAUAAACUGCACCACCCCAGUCAUGUCUUCUCUUACAAAAUAAAGCAAUGGGUGAUCAGCUACAAAGUCUAAUUUAUUGAAAAAUUGCGCAGACCGUAGCCUUAUCGUAGCCGCAGUUGCAGCUGCAGCUUCUGUUCCUUCUUCGUUAACCUCAAUAAAGGAUUUGUGGAAGAUGCUUGAAACAUGAAGGUUCCGGCUCACAGGGGAGUCUACCAUUUCAGUGAGGCCGCCUUCACCAGAGAAAGGCAGCACAAGCCCCAGUCCCUUCAGAGUUUUAGAAGCUUCAAAUCCAAAGGAUAUCUUAAAUUUUGGUACGAGGAAGUCGCCAACUUCUACUUUUGAACGUGAUAAAUGAUGCUCUAAGAAUCCAGGUUCAGAACCAGCUCUGUCCAACAAAGCUGGCAGCCCAUCCUUGGCAUCUGGGAGAAAAAAGUACAUGGAGAAGCGACGCUUAUCCUCACCUUGUUUAUAAGGAAGACACAGUACUUUAAACCCAUCAUAGGCACUUAUAUACUGUUUCUUCUUGCUGGUCAUGAAGGGAACUUUAAUUGUGCUGCCAUUCAGUAGGUGAAAAUCAUGCUCCUUUGUUUUUGAUGCGUCGAACUUAUCAUCCCAUUCUCCUUUAAAGUACAGCGCAUUCGCAAAGAUCAGCCUUGUUGUAUUGUCUACAGAGCCAGGAGGAAGGAUUUCUUUGAUCAGUCCACUUGUACCCUUUUCGGCCCAUGAAUUUACUUCAUUGGUGACCUCAGCAGGCUUCAUCAACACCAAUGCAAACAUUAGCAAACGUAUUAACACUACUGAUUCCCUUGCUAAUUUCCUUACCAUGUUCUCUAGUUAUGGAACCCAUGCAUAUUACAACAAAGAUUACAAGUCAAUACUGAAUUUCUAAUACAAUAACAAAACCAUCUUUUCGUAAAGGACUUGAUGCAUAGAGCAAAAGCACAAAGCUUCUCAUUCAGACACAAAGCACGAAAUUUAAGAGACAAAAUGCUCAAGUUUGCAGAUAGAAUUGAGAACCAAGUUGACAGCUCUACAAAGAGAACCUUAGAAGCCAGAGUUUUAACUAUAUUGAAAAGCUAAAACGGCACUGGAAGACAGUUCCAUGAUCUGUUGUUAGGUAGCAUAUUUAGAUGUACUCUGGAAGAGUAGGGGUCAAUCAAUAAUCACAUAAGAAAAUAAGUAAAGAUUAAGAUGUCCAUGGCCCUAAAUGAACCAGUUACUACUCAUAAUUCCAAGAUCAAAACAAUUCAAGAUCACAGGAAUGUUAUGCUAAAACUUUAUUAUUUCAGAUAAUGUGAUAAAAAACAGUGUCCAACUUCCGCAGCCCUUACUAUAUAAAUCAGGAAGUGAAAAUCAACUCUUAAAAGAAGACAAGUGAGCAAAUUAACUAUACUCAUUGAUUGAGUUUCACAUUUAACCAAAAUGUUUGCGUUUAUCUUUAACUUCCAAGGACAUGAGCCAAAUAGAUUGUAAGAAAAUCCGAGGACAAGUAUGAUCUGAAGCACUGCCGGAAAUUAAUGAAGACGCGAACUUUCUCUACAAAUAGAAGGAGACAGUCCUAGGCAUUCAACCUGAAUAUGCGUGCUUAUCAGCAACUUCCAAGAACAUAACCAAAGACUAAUUGCAAGAAAAUCUUACGACAAAUAUCAUCCAAACGAGUGCAGGAAAUUCAUGAAGAGCCAAUUCUUUUCUACCCGUCAAAGUGCUUAUUAGGACAGACUAAAGAAAAUCAACAAACUAAAGAAACAGUUUCACAAUCAAAAAACUCCUCCGUGCAACAUGCACAUAAACCUCAAUCAUACAACAGUCAAAAAAGCCUCUUCUUUUAAGCCCCUUCCCUUUCCUACUAGCCAAUUUCAGUACUUGCAAAAGGCGCAGGAAGUAUUACCAAUAGAUAAUCAACUAAAAAAGGCAAACGCAUGAUGACAAACGAAUAGCUUAACACAACGAAAAGAAAAAGCCCAUGUGAGAAAAUUAACAGGAAAAAAGAGAAAAAAUUUUUUUUUUGAUAAAAGACCAAGAAGUUUUAUUACCUUGUUCUGAAAAUCUACUUGAUUGGAAGCGGCCUUAUAAACUUCAUCAACAAUCUUUUUGAAAGAAGGCUUAAAAGGCAGAGACUGAUCAAUCCAGACGCCAUUAGCAAAGGACAAGCGAGGCCCGCCGGAGGGCGCGCCGUCGGCUAAGACAAUAGUGACGAGCUGAGAAGUGAGAGAGUUGAGGUGAUCGGUGGAGGUGGACUUGAGGAAAGAGAGGAGCUGGUCUUGGGUCGGGCCCUUGGAGCCGGCUGCAAUCAGGCCCAAUACUACGUGGAGGGACAACGGUGAGAAGACGGAGUUGGUGUCCUUGGCCUCCGACGAGAUGACGUGUUUUGCGAGUGCCAAUGAGACGUCGUUUUGCUUGCUGAUUGACUCUCUCAGGUCCAUUUCUUCUUCUCUUGGAGUAUAUGGAAAAUGGAAAGUGGAAACAGAAAGAGAGGCGAGCUUGAGCUUGAGUUUGAGCUUCUCGUGAGAAGCAUAAAAUAACUCUGCCUUUAAUAGUGAGGUUGCUUAGCAAUUAAUAAAUCAUUUUUGGGCGGGUGAGGUAACUUUUCUCUUCUUUCUUCUCUACUAAGAAAACGAGAUGUGAUUCUCGAUACGUGGGCUUUGAAUCUAUUCUAGAUCAGAUGAAACGUGAAAUGGACCAUUGGGUCGUGAUAAAUGCCCUGGAAUCUUUUCCCUACGGACCAUUUAUUCGAAACUUGUCCAUUUUCCGAUUUUCUAAGUCACUGAGUGUUUGGAUAGUUAAAAUAUUUUAAAUAAUAUUUCGCUUGCAUCAUAAACAUAAUUUUUAAUUUAUUUUUUAUAUUUUCAAUCACUUUUUUAUUUCACGUGUAUCAAAUUACAAAAAAGUGUUACAGUAAUUUUGCAGCGAGGUGUCCAAAGGCAUGAGCAAGACAACGCAAGUGAUGGUGGAAAUUCAUUUCUCAACAUAAGUAGAUAACAUGCGAAGAGCUGUGGUGACCUGGAGGUUUUUCGUCGUCCUCUCACAUGCCGCGCAUGUGGAUUAGCAGCACUGUGUUCUUCGCGCAUGGCGCGGCGGGUUCAGCUCCAUUGCCAUCUUAUCUUCUUUCUUUUCUCUGUCAGUAACCCAUGUGUCUCCUGCUGCGUUUUCUGCUGUGUUUCUCUAUCUGGCAGAAUCCAAUGCCUCUCCUUUCGCCUAGCUUCUCUCUCUCCUUCUUCUUGACGGUAUUGUUCUGUUUGCUCUAUUUCGGUCUCUGGGUUGCAGUGGUAUCAUUUGGUUCUCUUCAUUUUCCUCCGUUGUAUUCUUUUUUUCUUUACUCUUCUUUUUACUUCCGGUUAAGUGCAUGCUUCGCUGUGAGCUUACUCUGUGAGUUUAAACCUAAAAUUGAUAUUUUUAAUUUUUGUUCUUUGAUUCCCAUUUCGAGCUGCGAAGCGGCCAUGCAUCCUCUGUCUCUCGCUUUCUCUGUGUUGCAGUAGUCCGGAUAAGCUGCCGUCUGUUCACGGCGCCUCCUUCUCCUCCAUUGUACCUUUUCUGCCUCUUCCUUUCCGGUGAGGUACGCUCCUCCUCUGCCAUUGUAUAUUUCUAUUUUCUCUUCUCUUCUUUUUACUUCCGGUGAAGUGCAUGAUUCACUGUGAGCUUACUCUGUGAGUUUAAACCAAAAACUGAUAUUUUUUAUUUUUGUUCUUUGGUUCCCAUUUCGAGCUGCGAAGCGGCCAUGCAUCCUCUGUCUCUCGCUUUCUCUGUGUUGCAGUAGUCCGGAUAAGCUGCCGUCUGUUCACGGCGCCUCCUUCUCCUCCAUUGUACCUUUUCUGCCUCUUCCUUUCCGGUGAGGUACGCUCCUCCUCUGCCAUUGUACAUUUCUAUUUCUUCCAUAAAAUUCCUUUUUAUUCUUUUUGCCUCUCUUUCUUUUUGCCUCUCUUUAUUGAACAGAAAACGGUUUUCUUCUGAAGUGAUUCUUGAGACUGCUUCCUUACAUGCCAAGGAGGUGCCAUCUUUGACCUUUUUUUCCUCCCCGAACGCAUGCCUUCUGUCUUUCCACUCGAAUAAGGUGCGAUCUUGCCCUUCCUAGCUUUGUUUUUUUUAAUUUUAUUUUUUCUUCAAAUAAGGUGCGAUCUUGCCCUUCUUAGGUUUUUUUUUUUUUUUAUUUAUUCUUUCUUGAGACUGUUCCCUUACAGGUUUCUUUUACUGGUUUGUGGAGUGAUUCUUGAAACUGUUUCCUUACAGGCCAACGAAGUGCCAUUCCUCCCUGAAUGCAUGCCUUCUGUUUUUCCUCUCGAAUAAGGUGCGAUCUUGCCCUUCUUAGCUUUGUCUCUUUUGUUCGCAUCUGAUGUUUUAUGCUCCAGACUCUUGCACGUCUGUCCUGCUUAGUCUGCAUUUGUGCUGUUUGGGGCUUACCCUUUGAUCUGUAGCUUGUGUUCUGAAAAAAAAACUAUGGUGCCUACCUCGAGAAACUGAAGCUGUUUUGUGCUGUGUUGCUCUUUUGCUCUGUGCGUUUUAGCCUGGAGUUGUUAUGUUGCUGUUUAUACCUACCCCUCCAGUUAGACAUCUACUUCUUCAGAGAAGUGUGGGGUUAUGCAUUAUUUUUUAGUUUUGCCUCUAAAAAUAUAUAUAUUAAUUGCCUUUUGUAGCUAAGUCAACGCACCUAAUUGCCUUAUCUGUGACCAACAUAUUUUUUUUUAGCCCGAAUUUGGCUUAUCCCUUCUUCUGAAUCCUGUUACACAUUUGGGCUGUGCUUACUGUUGCGUGUUUCAUAGAAUUUCCCUUUUUUUGCCUUUUGUAGCUCAGCUAGCGCACCUAAUUGCCUUAUCUGUUACCAACAUAAUUUUCCCUUUUUUUUUCUUUUUCUGAGACCGAAUUUGACUUAUCCCUUUCUCUGAAUCCUAUUACACAUUUGGGCUAUGCUUAUUGUUGCGUGUUUCGUAGAAUUUCCCUUUUUUUAGUCCUGUUAUACAUUUCUUCUCUAAACUUGGAUUAUUUUUUUCUUUCCUAUCUUUAGUUCCUUGAUAAAUUUAGAUUCUGUCUUGAAUUAUCUUUAUUUCCAUUUUGAUUUUUAGAUGGCCAUUGAGCCUUUACGUGUGUCUGAGGUCCAUAGCUCCCUGCCCCAAUGGACUUGUGUCAUCCAAGUUAUUGAGGUGUCUCAUCUUAAAACUAGCUAUGCAGAGCAUGCAUCCAAAAAGUAUCGUCGCUUCGUCUUUGCUGAUUCACAGGUACGUUUCAUUUUCAUCCCGUUAUUGUUUUGUUCUUUUUUCCUUGCUUUGCUGUUGUGAGGUUUUUAUUUUUGCUUCGUGUCUUGUGCUGGACAGGGCGUAAAGGUUUCUGUUGUUGCCUUUGAUGGUAACGUUGCUCAUAUUGAAGGUUUGUUUUUUCCUUUCAAGAGGUACUGCAUUAGUAAUGCUGCUGUUGAGAAAAUUCCCAGACCUGCUCCGCCGGGUCUGCAACACCAAGGUAAGCUAUAUAUUCUUGUUUACUGAACAUGAAUAUUUGCUAUGGAAGUAUUCCCUAAAUUUUUCAUGGUAUUUAUCCUCCAAACCAGUUGCUGCUUUGAUGUUGACCUCACUGAUGAUACCAGUGUCAUGACAGCCUCUGUGUCUAGUGAAUUGGCUGAGCAAUUACUUGGAUUUACUGCAGUUGCGGCAACGGAUUCGUAUAACAAGGUUUAUAUAAAACUACAUAAACGAAUACUCUAAGAUAUGAAGCAGAACAUCUGUAUUGUGAUACCCUUUGUUACGGUUUCUUAAUUAGCCAUUUUGUUUAACUAAUCCUCAGAAUGAAGAACUCCCACUGGACAUGAUUCAUGACACGUUGAAGUCCAAGACGACAUUCAUUGCUCAGGUUAGGCCUGGAAACACCAAAGAUACUAAUUUGAGGACACCAAAGACUAUGAACUCAUUGAAGAACAGCCCCCAAGUAGUUUUCAGGUGGCCAGUCAGCUUUCUGCAGUUGAUACUCCAGGUUAUUGCUAAAUGGUUCACUAUAUAGUGUCUUUUCAUGCUGCUACACGAUUCUUUUUUUGAUUACUUUUCGCUUGUUUUAUUAUACAGAAAAAUCAUGUUCUUUUUCCAAGAGUCAACUCUGCCUUAACAGGAAGCAAGCCGUUUCUGCAACAGAAAGUCAAUCUUCUGCAAUAGAUGUUUCAGGUGCUUCCUAUUCCUUCGAUGAAUCCCUAUUUUCCAUGUUUCUUGAGUAUAUUCUAAAAAAAAAAUUCCCUUCUUGUAUAGGUAAGCCGUGUAGUUCCUCCAAAACUCACAUUUGCCUUGCAAAAAAAAAAAAAAGCUCAGCGAGGAAGCCGAAGAUACUGCAUCAGAAACUUGGGAUUUCACAAGCAGCAAAAAACCAAGGAAUGCUUGAACUGCUUGCACUCGUCAGAAAGUCUUUUGUCAUUACAUUGCUGCUGUGUAAACCUAUUUAGGCUUGUACUCUUAUGCUUGAUCUAGCCUACAUGCUUUCCUCUUUUAAGCCAUCUUUUGUGUUUUAGACCUGCUGUGAAUUUAGCUGGUUUUAGGUCCUGGCUGGAUCUCUCUAGAUCUACUGUUUUGCUAUUCAGAAUGUGUUAAACUUGCUCUUUUAAUGAUGUGGUUGUGUGUUUUUUUUCCUCGCUCUGCGAAUAGCUUCUUACAAGGAUGCGUAUCAGUUGUGGAUAUUUACAAGACUUGGGUUCUGUUCUGUUUUAGGUUCGGGCUAGAAUGGUGGUUUUUGAACCAGCCUCUUGCCUUGUGUCUAAGUGGUUUCGAUAGUUGAACUGGACAGGUCCGCUAUGGAGCCUAUGUUCGGCAAUGAUAUGAACCAUUUUCUUGAUCUGUCAAUGCUUUCCUCUUUUACUGGUUUGAGAAUUGAUUCUUGAGAUGAAUAUGGGAUUGUGUACUAAAUUGUAUUAUUUGAUCACUAUUUCGGUGUCACAGGUUAAAAGGCUAAAAAAAAGCUGCUUUUUUGGUCAAGCCUGUGGCAGCCUGCCUUCAAAAAGAAGAGAAAUUUAAACUACGCGGAGAUUCUGCAUGAAAAUUUCCAUGCAGGCCUAGGGAAGUUUGGGGAUAAGGAAAAGCAUUGCAUGAAGAUAGGGACGAGCAUUGCUAUAAAUUAUAUUAUUGUAUGAAGUUAUAUGUGUAACUGUCAUUAGUAGGACAAGCAUUGCGUAAAUUUAAUGAUCUGCAUUGAGGGCAAGAGAACAUCUUGGAUAAUUCGCCAGACAGUUUUUUCCUUCAAGGGAAAAGUGCACACUUGGGGACUUUUAUUUUCUUUGGAAUAAAAUGGCAGCAGUCCAAAAAUCAUCCCACCGCCUACUAAAUUAACACCUGCACUGCACUGUCAAAGAGAUGUAACAAGGAAAUGACCUAAAGGUAGCAGCACUUAGUUAGUGAGUAAAUUUUUUUUUUUUUUGGGGCUAAUGCUGUCAUUUUCCAAGCAUUUAGGUUUGCUUCAUCCUCCCCAGUACGGUAGAGUGUCCCUAUAUUAGGAUGCAAUAAUCAAAGAAUAAAAAAAUUAAACUGGGAAAAAAGGAAUUAAACUUGGUCAAAAUAUUAACCUGGAACCAUCAUUGGCAACACAGUUAAUUAGUCACUAUUUACUGUUACCCUCAAACCAAAAAACAAAAAAAAAAACUUAUUAUAAAUGGACUGGCAGAUUUUUUACUCCUGACAGAUCAAUUUCACUGGUACAAUUGAACUUUUAUUUAUUGCUAAUUUAUUACUAUUAUACUGCUUUAAUUUAUUAUGAGAACCUUGCUAUGAAAUAUGUUCAUUUAAAAAAAAAUUUUAAUCUUAAGUCAAAUACGCGACAAAGUGGACUCGAGUUCAAUUAAAAUUAAAAUUAAAAUUUGGACAUGUUCAUCUUGGCUGAAAGAGAAGUUGGACGAAAACGAAAAGUCCUAGAUUAGAUGUGGUGAACAUAUGAGUCUAUAAAAUGAUUUGUCAACGGUCACAUCGAAAUUUCUUCUUUUUUUCUUGUAUUUAAGUAGAUAUUUAUUCAUUCUUAUUCCCUCUUUGUUUUUCUUUUCUUUUCUUGAAGCUGAAAUAUAAGGCAGAUGUGAGUUAUGGCCUAAUGCCCUAAUCAGAGUAUAGUGCAUGGAACUGCUACGAAAGGAGAUAGUAAUAAUUACUUAGAGCUAAAUGCCUCUUAGGUGGUUACCCCAAAAAUCAAUUCCUUUGACGUCGGUUCCUUACCCGUUAAAGGAGAAUUUGAGUAAUUUAAUUUAUUAUAAAUACACAAGUUCUAAUUCUUUUUUGCCAAAAAAAUUGUUCCACUUAUAUUUUUGGCCUAAUAUUCAACUUGGUUCAAUUACCUGGGAUUUAUUUUUCUGCAAGGAAAAAAUUACAAUUUCUUUCUUGGAAAUGUAAUUAAUUGAUGAAUCCUCCCCAAAUGAUUACUAAUGGAACUUGGUCCACUUGUUCCGUAUCUUGGUUCAUAUUUACACCCUAACUUCGAACCAAACCAAAUGCUAGAAUGGAAGCAAAAAGGCAAAAUGGAGAUAUAAGUUUCUGCAGCCGCUCUCGGCAAUAAAGCCUCUUUAAAGCAAUGCACACCUAAUAUUUGGUAGGCAAUAAAGUUGAACCUUUUACACCAGCUUCCUUAAUUAUAAUCCUGCAUCUUUUCCACAUUGAUAAUCCUGAACGUGUAUAAAGUGUCUACUCUUGCUCCUAUCUUUUGAUAGAGGAAAUUCCACAUAAUUUCCCUUUCCGUUCCAUCUUGCAAAUGGCCAAACCCAGAAACCCUUUCAAGAGGUGGAAAGCAGUGGAUCUCAAAGCCAAAAUUUGAUACUACCUUUGCACCUUCGAUGGCUCUCGAAUUCACGCCGCAACUGCUAUCCAGUCACCUCAGAUAAAAGCGUUAUAUUCUGUCAAGGGAAGCUUCUUUGAGGCCUAUCCGAUGGUUCUAAAACACAUGGGUGAACCCUCGCUGUACUCUCUUGUCUCGGUUGAACAAUGGUUGCAAAAUAUCAUUGAUAUCAGUUCUGAAGCCUUUGCAGCAGACUGCGCGUUCCUUGCUUUUUUAUGGCAUAUAUGCAUUCUGUUGCUCGUAACAAUAAUUUAUGAUUUUGCUUCUUUUUUAUAUUUUUAUAGCCAGCCAUGCACCUUCGACGAAAGAACUUCCACAAGGAAAUCCAUGGUGUUACAUUAUGAUGUGUUAAAAUCUGCAGAAACAGGUUUACACUUCAUAUUAAUGUUGAAUCGGCUGUCUUGUACAAUUUCCAUGAUAUCUGAAUUUUUCCCCUUUCCACCCAGAAAAUCCCUGGUUCUGUUUUUAAAUCAGCUGGCUUUGAAAACGGCCAGGUUUUGGAGCUGUACCACGGCAUCGCUGUUUUGGCAUGUAGCAAUCAAUGAUAGAUGCUUUGAACAAGGCUGGGAAUCGUAUUGCAGAGAUAACUUGAUUCAUGAAUAUGACUUACUUUUCUUGCGACGUAGAGGGAAUUUAACCUACGAUGCCUUGGCUUUUGGCACAGCACAAACCCUCACGUUAAUGCCAUGGACAUUACCUUUACCAAUGGUGCCAAAUUAUCAACCAAUUCAGCCAGGAAAUUAUUCUUUCUUGCAAUAUUUCUCCUUAUAUUAAUUUAUACUAUUCAUACUGAUCAAGGACAAUUGUUUUUCAUGCAGAUGUUCCAGUUGCCGUAAACUCGAACCGUAUCACUUCAUCCAUACAUCCAUUCUUCGGCCACAAUCUGGCAGCAUCUACUACUUUCUACCAAUUUUGUACUAGGCUUAAUAGAUACACCUUUCUUCUUUCUUGAUUUUUUGUCUCCAUUUCUUAUAACUUAUACUUGGUAAUUCGCAGGCCCUUCCACAAUAUAUGACCCCGGAAUUAAAUGAAGCCAAGACUCCAGCAAUUAAUAUUACCAGUGGACACCGGACAUAUAGUCUUGGAAUGACUGCGACAAAGUUUGACCAAAACUGGAAUACAUUCGUUGCAGACCAUGAACUUCAAAAUGGCGAAGUUCUUCUCUUUAUUCCACAAUCCAGAUCUUCUUUUGGCGUCAUCAUCUUCGACCGGAAAGGAAUUGAAAGAAUGUAUCCAUGGCACCACAAUUUUAAUAUUUAAUCCCCUGCUGUUCCCUGUUUAGGUUCGUUAGGUUUAUUUCUGAAAUAUCCUUGUAUGCUCUGAUCAAUCGACGAUUGUUAGUCCCUGCCACUAAUCUUUUACUGCUUCAACUUUUGUUUUACAAAUUCUUUGUUAGCUCCAUUUUUCUCCUUUUUCAUAUUCCAGCUCAUCAUACUGAACUGGGCAUUAACAAUUUCAUCCCUACCGCGCGACGCGCGGUUCUUGCCUCCUAGUUUUAGGAAGGAAGAGAAGGUGCGUUUUGCCUUUGGACGGCUACGCGUCAAGUGAUUUGGGAUUCUGCAGUUCUGCGUAGCUAUUAAGAAACAAAUCUAUCAAUCAUACCCAAUAAAUUACUAUUUAAUACUAUGACCAUAGUACUGAGAAAAAUCAAGAAAACAAUAGCCCUUUUUUUUUUUUUUUUUUGAAUCAAGAAAAGAUUAGCCUUGACGGUGACGGUGGAGAAAGCUUAAUUGAACGACUCUUACCGUUAACAUCAACCUUAAAAAUCAAUUUUACAAGCUGGACAAGUAUACAAUUAUAACGGAAUAGAGUUAUAAGAAUUAAUGUGCCCAGUUUAUAAAUAGAAGAUUCUGAGUUUAUAACUUCUUAUUUACCAAAAAAAAAAAAAGAGCAAAAAAAAUCAAUGUGCCGUGGCAAAAAAUUUUUUUUUUUUUUUUAAAAGAUAGCAGUCAAAACCCGGAGAAGCGAUAACCUUUGUUGUGAAUUCCUUAGAACCACGGAACUUGGGCCUACAAGUCAGGGCUUCAAGCCCAGAUUAUGAUGGGAUAGAAUCUUCCAAACAGCAAUUAAAUCUUGUAGUCUUUGAAUUUUACCCCCAAAAAAGAAAAAAAAAAAUCUAGAAUACUUGAAAUAUUCGAGGAGACUACUCAGUCACUGCGUGAAGAUAAGUGGAGGCAGGAAUUAAAAGUAUCUAAUUAUGGUAGAAAGGAAUGACCAUUUGCCACAUAAAUUUAACUAAUUAACUGCGGCUCGUAAUGUAGAGUUUUAUUUGAGCACUUGCCGCCAUGUAAGUACUAGCUGAUACCUUGACCUUUAAAUUCCAAAGUAGUCUAUCCAGAGCUCUUUCACAAAAAAACCAAAAAAAGAAAAAAGAAAAAAAAGGCACUCCAUCCAAAGUUAAGUUAGAUAAUCUCACUAACAUUUCACAAAUAAAUCGCAUCUUUAAGUCCAGUGAUGGAUCAUGCAGCUAAAGAAGCUGCUAUUUCAAAUUAAGAGAAUUGGUUCAGGAAAACCAGAUCUAAUCAAUCUAUAUGAAUUACUACUACUACAUUGUAAGUAUUACAAUCUGGAAUUUUAUUUUAUUGCAAAACUAAAGGCACUCUUACAAUCACAUACUACAAGAAUAUUCAACAGCCAGAAAGGGGAGCGAAGAACAGAGUGAACAACAACUAAUGCAAUCCAAACAUAUAGGAGUAAGUACGCAGGGGAAUAGUAAGGUAUUACAACAUAAAACAAAAGACAAGAGAAAUGCAGCUGUUGAAGACUUCCAUUCCAUGUACUAUAAAUUCUUCGCUACCUAUGAGUCAAGGGGGUUAAGCAGGGUACCAAUGAACUGUACCGCCCCGGACAUGUCUUCUCUUAUAAGGAAAAGGAAUGGGUGGUCGGCAACGAAGUCUAAUCUGUCGUAAUGUUUAUAAGACAUUAAUACCACUUUGGCAGCAGUUGCCGCUGCAGCUUCUGUUCCCUCUUCAUUAACCUCAAUAAAAGAUUUGUGGAAAAUGCUCGAAACGCAGAGGUUUCGACUGACAGGGGAGUCGACCAUUUCGGUAAGUCCUUCACCAGAGAAAGGCAGCACCAGCCCCAGUUGCUUCAGACUUUGAGAAGCUUCAAACCCAAAGGAUAUCUUAAAUUUUGGGAUGCGGAAAACGCCUACUCGUACUUUUGAGCGUGGCAAGUGAUUUUCCAGGAAUCCAGGUUCGGAACUGACUUUGUCCACAAAAGCUGGCAGCCCAUCCUUGGCAUCCGGGAGGAAGAAAUACAUGGAGAAUCGGCGUUUAUCAUCGCCACCUUGUUUAUAAGGAAGGCGAAGCACCUUAAAACCAUCGAAGGCGCUAAUGUACUGUUUCUUUUUUCUGGUCAUGAAGGGGACCUGAAUUGAGCUGCCAUUGACGAGGUGGAACUCAUGCUCCCUGGUAUUUGAUUCGUCGAACUUCUUUAGCCAGGCUCCUUUGAAAUACAGAGCAUUUGCCAAAAUCAGUCUCGUUGUUCCAUCCACUGAGCCACUAGGAAGAAUCUCCCUGAUAAGCCCGUUUGUUUCCUUCCGAACCCAGGCAUUUACUUCGUUGGUCACCUCAUCAGGCUUCAGAAGAACAAUCAACAGAAAUAAAGAAAAACAAACGUUAGCAACUUGGCAUAUUCUACGGUUUGCUAUUUUGAACAUAAAGGGGUUGCAGAAAAUUCACACCCUCCAAACAAGAAACGUGACUCUACUUUUGCCAUAUCCAAAAGUUUGACAUGCCAAUUAGAGACUAUUUUCUACUUUUUUUAAUUCCAACUAGUAUGCCCAAUUGCACCGUGUGGUUAAGUGCUGUCUCAUAGCUAACUAACGUGGCAUGAGAUUAUGAAACACAACCAUGAUUCAGCAGACACAUAUUCAAACAGAACAAAAGAAAUUAGGAAAAUGAGUAGGCUGAUGAACAAUGAUAGACGGAGACGGUUACUAACUUACUACCUUGUUUUGGAAGUCAACUCGAUCGGAAGCGGCCUUAUAAACAUCAUCCACAAUCUCUUUGAAAGAAGGCUUAAAGUGCAGGGACUGAUCAACCCAGACGGCGUUGGCAAAGCUGAUGCGAGGCCCGCCGGAGGGGCCGCCAUCGGCGAAGACGCCGUUGACCAGCUGCGAGGACAGGGAGUUGAGGUCGUGGGUGGAGGUGGACUUGAGGAAAGAGAGGAGCUGGUCUUGGGUUGGGCCUUUGGAGCCUGAGGCGAUCAGGGCCAAGAGCACUUGGAUGGACAGCGGCGAGAACACAAAGUUGCAGUCCUGGGUCUUCGUCGAGAUAAUGUGUUUUGCGAGUGACAAGGAAACGUGGGUUUGGUUGCUGAUGGAUUCCCGGAGAUCCAUGUCUUUCGUGCCUCAGUAAAGAAAAUAUACUAGUAGCAGUAAAUGGAGCUCAGUUGAUUGAAAUCCAAAUACUUUCAAUGAAGGAAAUGGUUUUAGCAGGGAGGUUCCGCAGGCAGUAGAGACUACGUAUACAAGUCAGUCAUUAGAUAGCUUAAUGAAGAAGCAGUAAUAGCCUAACGAAGAAGCUACUGCUUGUUGACAGUUGACACGUUUUUGUUUAGAUUGAAAAAUGAUGAAUUUUUUUUUUUUUUUAACUUCUAGAAUACAACAAUUGAUAUAUAUUUUUUUAAGGAGUAUGGGCGUAUGGUUGGGGUUAGGGAUGUACGCGAGCCGAGCUACUCGCUAGUAGCUCGGUCAACGACUCGGCUCGAACUCGGGUUGACCGAGUUCGAGCCGAGUUUCGAGUAACUCGAAUGAAAAUCGAGUCGAGUUUCGAGUCGAAAUAGCCCAGCUCGAGUCGAGUCGAGUAGCUCGACGAGCCGGAGUUAUUUAAAUAAUAUAUAUGUAUUAUAAUUAUAAAAUGACCAUUAUGGAUAUAAGUUAUAUGAAAUUUACAAUAUAUCCUUCUUUAUAAUAAAAUCCUAUAAUGGCAAAAAAGUAAUAACAUAAUUGUAAAAAGACCUAAAAUGAAAAAAAAUUUCGAGCCUCGAGUAUCGAGUCAAGCCUCGAGCCUAAAGGAAAUUUUUCGAGUCGAGUCUCGAGUAUCGAUUUUUUGGGCUCGCUCGAGCUCGAGCUUUGGUGUAUAUGAGUCGAGUCGAGCUCGAGUAUAGCAAUACUCGAGCUCGACUCGACUCGAUUACACCCCUAGUUGGGGUCACACGCGUAACGGUGUGCUUACGGUCUAUAAUAGGUACAAUUGGCACUUGAUGUGGUUGGCGUAGUUGUUUUAAUUAAGGUUAGGCUUCUUCUAUUGCAAUGGAGAUAAUUUCUCGCCAUUAUGUCCCAAUAAAAUUAAUUUAAAAAUUAUUUUUGAAAAUCAACAUCAUCCAUAAUAUAUUCGAUUACUUGUAUUAGUUAUGCAUACAAUUUCCAUAUAAAUUGAUUAAGUUUUACCCUCCGAUUAAUCAUUAUAAAUUUUGUUUCAAUUUUGACUAAUUUUUUAUCAUUUAAAUGUUUCAUGUAAAUUGAAUGUUAAAAUAUUCUCAAAUGAAUAUCAUUUUUUAUUAUAUUUAUCUAGAGAUUAAGAGAAAAAUGACGAUAUAAUCAGAUGAUUUUUUUAUAAAAUUAUAAAAUUUUAGAUAUAAAUAAAUGGAGGGAACAAUGGAGAGGAAUUCAAUGGGAAGGAUCCUAUCCCAUUAUUUUGUAGUAUCAUUCGUGAUUUGAUGAUAUACUUGAAAACACCUUUAUGUUCAUACAAUUUAGUCGGUCUAUGCAAAUGAAAUUUACACGUACGUCAACAUAUACCAUAUCAUGUGAAAAUUACAACAGCAACUACAACACUCCGUCACAAUUGUCUAAAACCCCUCAAUUUCUGAAAUAUUUGCUCUUUCUCUUUUCUUUCUCCACUUGCCAAAUACUACUAGCUAAUUUUGCAUGAGGGUUAAUUACAAAAAAUUCCCUAAAGUUUAACCAGAUUUGCAUUUUACUCAUAACGUUAUUUUUUUUUUCUCACUUUACCUCCUAAAUUGUUAAUCAAUUCUAAUAUUAUUGAUUCUUGACUAAAAUGGUAAUAAAUAAUUAGCUAUUAUGGACCUAAAUGUUUCUUGAAUAAGUUGGUUCAUUUGGUCUACAUAAUAAUUAGAGGGGAGGAAAAAAACUUAUGUACCAACAUUAACCCAAAAGUGUUGAAAGCAAAAGAGGGAAAGUAGGAAACAAAGAAAGCUCCUCAUUGCGCCACCUGACAGCUCUUGGAGUUGCUACAGCAAAUAGCUACUCAAUCUUAUAUAAUACUAGUAAGAUAUUGGGCGUAGGGCGACAAUGAUCGGAAUUGAACUCAAAUACUCAAACUCAAACUUGAAGUACAUUAUUGGAUCUAGAGCUCAAGUUGGGGUUCAAGCUUGACAAAUUUUUAAAUUUGAAGGUCGAGUUCAACUUGUGUAAAAUAUAAACCAUACAAGAUUGAGCUUGACCCAUGUGAAAUAUAAAGAGUUUGAGCUAGCUCAAGAAGUAAAUUGAGAUCGAGUUGCUCAAAUUUAAAUGGCAAAACUUGUAAUUAUCCUAUGAAUAUAGGUUUUUUUGGUAAUUUAAUAGUUAUACGAAAUAAAAAUAAUAUAUAUACCUAAAGUUUGGAAAAUUCAACAUAUUUAAAGAAUCAAAUUUGACUCAACAAUGGACUCGAGUAGCUUGAUCUCCGAUUUGACCAAAGUUGAGUGGAGAUUUUAACCUGCUGCUCUCAAGUACGUCGAUUCUUUGCCUCCCACCCCCCUCCCUCCCCAAUCGUGCACAAUGCUAUUAAAUAUUUUCUUGCAUCUUUAAUUAAACAGCAAAUGCCGCAAAUGAUCGUUCAGCAAUUUGUCGAGCCUCAAUUCGAUCAAGCUUGAGCGAACUACCGGUGAGCAUCUUAAUUAGCUGCCACCCCUAAUUUAGGCAUAAUGCUAUCAAAUAUUUUCUUGCACAUUUAAUCCGCAAAUGAACGUUAAGUAAUAAAGGAGCGCGAACAUUUUCUUCCAGUAAAAGCGGGUCAAGUGAGCCCAUAAUUUUCAGGCAACAAAUGUUGGAGCCAUCAGGAGACAGCAUUUACAUGUAGACCAAGUUAUGUGAGUCCAAACUAUUUGUCAAGUGGCUGUCUUGAGUUGCUUUCUGCAAUGUAGUUUUUAUUCCUAUUGAUUCCUUUAAAUUAGAAUAGAUUAAAUUAUAGAAAUGUUAUCGUUGCAAAAAAAAAAAAAAAAAAAAAAAAAAAAAAAAAAAAAAAGCCUAUGUGAGGCCCGAAAGAGUCUCUGGAGGUUGGAACUUCAGCUCAGGUGUCGGGGCCAUCUAUUAGUGGAUUUCUGAUCAAAGACGAUAGCAGGGUAUAGCAAAUUUCUCAAUCUCAUACAUUUCAGCCAGCAGGAGGUGAUUAUUUUACUGUUUGGUCACCAUUCAAGUUCAAAGAGUAAGAAACAGUAGAGACACAGACCAUGAUCCACCUAACAAAAAUAGGAUAAAAUUCCAUUUGUAUCAUCAUUCUCCCAAGAAAAUUCCAUUCAAUUCUAUUAUAAACCUUAAACAUGUCCAGUUUAAUUGUCAGGAAACUAGUUUUUCCUUCCCUUUUGUUUUUCAAAAAAUGAAGGAUUUCCUGAGCAAUCAAGACAUUUUCUAGGAUCCGUCUUUCUAGAAUUAAAGCUGAUCGAGAACAACUGAUGCAAUGCUUGAGAAAUCUUUUCAACCUAUUGGCCACAAUUUUAUAAAUGAUUUUGUACAAGACAGUGCAGAGACUAAUAGGUCUAUAGCUAGUUUAGUUCACUGGAGCCUCUGUUUUAGGUAUCAAAGAGAUAAUGGUCUCAAGAGGAUUAGAUGACACGAAAAGAGAGAUAUGAGAAAACGUAAAAUCCACCAUUGGUUUUCACCACGCUCAUUAGUUAGAACUUGCGAGUUUUAAAAUUUGUAUCGCUGGCCGAAGGAUAAAUGGGCGGGAUAUUAUCAGAAUCCUCCGUUGAGGUUUCUUCUAAUAUCACUUGACCCUCCUAAAAUUUUAAAAAUAUCACUUACCCCUUCUAAUAAAUUCAAAAAAAAAAAAUAUUAACUUUCACUUGAUACAUAAUUCAUAUAUCAAAUUAAUGGAGUUCAAAAAUUAAAAACAAAAAAACAAAAGUCAUUUUCUUCUCUUUUUCUUUUCUUCAACAUUCUCUCUUAUUCAUCUUUUGGAUGAUUAUGUGAUUUUUAUUUGUAAAUUAUAAUAAAUUGAAUUUUGUUUAUCUUUUAGUUUUUAUGAUUGUGAUAGAAUGGGUAUGGUUUAUUUGCUUAUUUUAAGUUGAUUUUUAUAAUCAUCAGUACAAUUUAAAGAUUUGGACAUAGGUUGAGAAGAAGUUGAAAAAAAUAUAAAGUUCAUAAGAAAUCAAUUUUAAAUAUAUAGAGUUAAAUUAGUCAAGCAUAUUUCUUUACAAAUAUCAUUUUUAUUUUUCAAAUAUAUAUUUUUAUGGACUAUAGCAUUAUAAUAUGGCAGUACUAGUAGAGAUUGUUUUUCAGAUAAUGAUUUUUUAAAAGUAAAUAAAGUGAUUUAGGAGUAUUUUCAUUUAACAAGUAAUAGGAUAGUUUAGGAUUUUUAAAAAUUUUAUUACACAAAUAACAAAAAUAAGGGAGGUAAGUGAUUAUUCUUAAACGGUUGUUGGAAAAAAAAAGUGAUUAUUCUUAAAACUUAUUAAGAGAACCCAGGGGAGGUUUCUGAUAUUAUCCUAAAUGGACACGAGCCCAUGUUUAAUGUUUGUAGUGCCCAACGGGACUCCACCCAACAAUCAGAAGAGAUGCAACUGGCAACUUUACGAAAGCAGCCUAAAAAUCAGUCUUCUCUCUUGCUCAAACAAGUAACAAUCUCCAGCUUAUUUUAUUCCUGGCCACUUUCGACUAAGCUGAAGUAGGCGGAUACCGGGCGUUGAGAACGGUGGCUGUACUUAUCUCCCCUGGCUCGACAGUGGGCUGCAGCAGUUAGUUUCAAAAUUCCUUUUUUUUUUUUGGAAUCGUAAUUGAUUGUAGCUGCCUCACUUCCAUAUUGGUUUUCUUUUCUUUUUUGUUUUCUGGUAGGAUCUUUAGUUUAGCCAUGUUAUUUGCCUGCUAAGUUUGUGGUUUACGUUUUUUGGUAGCUUAUAUGCAUAUAUAUUCCUACCAUGAAUGUUUGAUAUCUGUUAGAUUUUUGGAGCAAUUUUGUCAUGCAGCAUCCUUUAAUUAGAAUGAUUUUGGCCAAGACAGAAUUUAUAUUAGAUUUCUUUGAUUAUAGGACGAAUUUCUGGUAAACAUGCUUAAGCUGAAUUAUAUUUGUUUCAUUUGUUGACUGAUUUUGUCUGCCGGCAUGCUUGCGGUUUAUUCCAAGGUUAUGUUUUUAUUGCUGCGGUAUAUUUGUGUUUUAUGUAUUGUUAUUUACGUUGGAAGAAGAGCAUGCGAGGAGGACAACAAAACAAUCCUGGGUUGUAGCAGAUUUUUUUUUUUUUUUGGCUGUUGUUUUUGGAUUCUAUGCUAUCUGUCCUGGUCAUUCUUAAUGGGUAUUUUGUCAGGCUUACUUUCCUUCUAAGGACUUUUAUGGUUCUUUUGUUCACAUAGGACUCCAGGUGGUCAAUUAACGAGCUUCAGCAUAGUAAUCUUGUUCUUAAAAUGGUACUAAAUGGAAUUCUUUGUCGUUCAUUUUCUCAUUCCUGAUAACAGACAGAAAAGUAGCAGAAAGUUUUGAUCUUAAUGGAAUCAAGGGCAAUACUUGCCACUGGUUUUGGACCGAGGAAGGUGAGACAGGAUCACUCUUACUAACACAAAACAAAAGAAGUUUCUUUCUUGUAACUAUUUGCUAAAGGAAACAUAUGUUUGCUGCUGGAUCUUUUUCUUCCUCUCGCCCUUCUUAAUAGUGUGCAAAGACAGGGCAGCCCCUCAAGGAUCAGAUUAGUCAGCUUCCAGAUGGAAUCCUUGUUUAUAUUCUGUCUUGUCUAAUGCUAAAAGAAGCUGCCAGAACAAGUGUUCUUUCAAAGCGUUGGAUAGAUCCAUGGAGGUCCAUGGCUUGCCUUGAUUUUGAUGCAUUAAAAGUGCUAAAGAAGAUGUUCUCAAUACCCAGCUGGGGAAGGUAUGUGGCCUUUGUUAGAAAGGAAAGGCGAAGUAGGUUGAAUGGGUUGACAAGGUGCUGCUUCAAUCAGACAAGUCCUUGGCAUUAGGUUAUUUGAGAGUUGCUUUUUAUUUGGACAAAUUUUAUGGAGAUAAGAUUCAUAAAUGGCCUCAGCAUGCAUUUGCAAGGAAAGUGCAAAGGCUGGAAUUGAACCUGUUUCCAGAUGAUGGCCCGCCUUCUUCUCGAGAAUCAUAUACUUUCCAUUAUGAACUUUUUCGCCUUAGCAGUGGUAAAUCUCAACCUGGUUACUCUGAAAUCCGUCAUCAUUCACAGAUUGGCUUCAAGUCCCUUAGAGCAUUGAGUUUGAAAAGUCUGAAUGUAACUGGGGAGGUACUGGAAUUCUUCUUGAUCAAUUGUCCAUUUCUUGAGCGCCUGGUAGUGGAGGCCUCUUCAGUUUUGAUCAACCUUCGAGUUUGUGGUCCAUCUAUUGCCUUGAAAUAUCUGGAGGUAUGCUACUGUUUGAGGUUGCAAUCCAUUAUUGUCAACGACACAAAUUUAGUCUCCCUUACAACUACAGCAGCACACCAUCUUGUACUUCAGAAUGUCCCCAUGCUUGUGAAUGUAUGGGUUUCUGGGGAUUCCCUUAACUUGGUCAGGGAUGUUACUUCUUGGCUUUCUUGCUGCUUGUCAAAACUAGAGGUUCUUACUUUACGUGCCGACGAGUUUCAAGUUUCACAGGUUUUUUCUAGUUAUUUAAUGGAACUCUUUGAAGAGAUUCCUUUCCAACUAUUGUUUAUAAUCACUGCCAACUGCUUGCCUCACUGGUUUGAUUUUGCUUUCUUCUUGUUUGAUCAUCCUAGGAAAAAGGAAUUGUUCAUGAGCUUCCUCAACUUACCAAUCUGAAGGAGUUCGUCUUAAUAGCUUUUGCAUCAAAAGAUGACAGUUUGAUUGGAUUUACUUCUUUGAUCAGGGCUUCCCCCAACUUGGAGAAGUUUGUGCUGAAGGUAGCAUAUUGCUGUACUAAUCUCAGCCAUCGUUUUCUUUUACUGUCUGGUUUUGUUUUCUUGAGCCUUGCUUUAGUUAUUCUUGUCAUUCUCCGUGGCAUUUGCUGCAUGCCAUGCCAUGCCAUUGAGCGUCAUACUAUGGGACUUGAACAUUCUUAUGAUUAUGAACAUUUAAACGCAGUCUAGGAGCCCAAUCAAUUCUUGAAAGCGAAAAGGCAAUGAUUAUACUAACAUGCUUCGUGUCAGUGUGACAUGCUGUUUCUGUUGCUGCUCCUAUUCGUUUCUUUCUUUUUCUAAUUUGUGUUGUGUACUCUUAGCAGAUUUCCCCCCGUUCUUUUUGAUCUGCAAUAUUUUAGUUAUUGACAGCUUAAUCUGUUUGCAGUUGGAAUCAUGGUGGAAUGAUAUGGUCAGGGGAGAUAGAAAGUUGAAGAAAGCUGCCAGCUUUCCGCUCCAACAUCUGAAAGUGGUUGAGUUACUUGGAUACUAUGGUCGCAGAAGUGAACUUGAACUUGUUGAAUACUUCCUCGAGAACGCUAUUGUCCUCGAGAAACUUAUAAUUGACCCUCGUGAUCCGCAUAAUGUCACUUGGCCCAAAACGCGCAAGGAAAGAAAGCAGGAAAUGAAGGAGGAAAAGUUAGCUAGAAAUUGUGCCAAGCAACAGCUCGAGGGAUUAAUACCUUCACAUAUUGAAUUUUCGAUUCUAUAGCUGCAAACAGCAAAUGCAGCUAAAUUUAGGUUUAUGUACAAGAAGUUAUACUUUUGGGAUGUGGAAAAAGCCUACUUAUUAUAUACUUUUGAGGGUGGUAAGUGAUUUCCAGAGUAUAAAUACUACACCUACUACAAAAAAUUUAGGGCAAAAAAUCGCUGUGAUUCUCGAACUUUCAACUUUGUGCAUUUUAAUCCUCCAAUUAAUAAGUGCGUAAAUAUAGUUCUCCAAUUAAUAAAAAUGUGUAGUCAUAGUCCUUCCGUCUAAUUUGGCUGUUAGGGAUGAUACAAAAAAUAAAGGGAUAAUUUCAGAAACCUCCCUUGAGGUUUUUAACAAUUUCAUUUAGCUCCCUUAAGAUUUUAAAAAUUACAUAUACCUCCCUUAUCAUUUAAAAUGAUAAUACUACCCUUAAAUAUUUUAAUAAAAUUUCCUUGUUUGAUAUGUGUAUACUCAGAAUGACUUUUAAAAUUAUUUUUUCAUUCUUUUUCCUUCUUAUUCCUUUUUUUAAAAGUUUUUUGUCAAUAAAACUGUAGAACUACCACUUUCACCUCUAGUUUCUAGUGUAACCGAAUGUCCAAGUAGUGAUUUUUUUGACGAGUUAACUUUAUAUGCAAUCCAAUGUAUUUGCUUAUCUUUGUUUUCUAUUUUUUGGUAUUAAAAUUAACAAUAAAUGAAAAGAAAAUGGCCCAAAAUUACUAUUAAAUUAUGAUAAUCCAACUACUCGAAAAAUUCAUAAACUCUAAAUGAAUUAUUUCAAUAUUUUUUUCUAUCUUAUAAAUUUAAAUCCAUAAUAAAAUACCAUCAAAAGUAUCCUAUCAUAAUGAUAAAAUUAUUAUUAUAGUUGUUUAUCAAAUAGUAGGUAUGGACUUGAAAAUUUUGGGACAUUUUUCUUAUAAUUAUACUUGAUAAUCUUAUAAUUAUAUAGGAAAGUAAAUUAAAACUCAUUACACAAGGGUAUUUUUGGAUAUUCAUUUAAAAAUUUGAACAAGUCAAUAUUAUUUUAAGGUUUUGUUACUAAAACAAUCAAAUCAAAGGAAGUAAGUGUAAUUUUUCAAAUUUCAGGAGAGCUCAGUGAAAUUGUUAGAAACCUCUAGGGAGAUUUUUGUAAUUAUUCCAAAAAUAAAUGUCAUGUGAGCAAUCCGUGAUGCAUUUCCCAUCCAUUUUAAUGGCCAAAUUGGACGGAAGGACUAUAACUAUACAUUUUUAUUAAUUGAAGAACUACAUUUAUGCACUUAUUAGUUGGAGGACUAAAAGUGCGCAAAGUUGAAAGUUUGAGGACCACCGCGGGUUUUUGCCCAAAAAUUUAUGACUUUGUAUGAGUGCAAUUACAUUAUUGCCUUUAUUCAUGAAAUUAUUUAUAACCUAAUAUUAUUUCCUUUCAUUUCUUGAAGAUUUAUUUCUUCUCCAUCAUAUCAAUUAUACAAAAAUAUCAAGCUAAAAAAAGUUAAAGAAAGUUGAUAUUUAAUUUAUAUCCUUGAAAUUUUCCUAUUGGAUUAGUGUUUACUUCUAUAUACAAUGUUUUAUUCAAUUUAUUAGACUUUAAGUGAAACAACAUGGAUAAAUAACAGAAUACUAAAAAUAAAUACAAUUACCAAAAUUUAUAUAAAAAAAGGUAAUACCAAACUCAUUUUUUUAAAAGUAAUAUAUUUGUCAUUUUAAUUUAUUUAAACUUUUAGACAGAUAUCAGUGUCAUUUUUUUUAUCAAAUUAUUCAAAUAUGAAAUUCUUAAUCAGUUUGCUAAAAUGGUUGAUAUGCCUCAUUUUUAAACUUAGAGAAGACAAGUGGAGAUUAAUCUUUGAGAAGAAAAAGCAAUAAUACUAAACUAUAAACACAUUAAUAAAAAUUAACAAUAAUAUUAGCCUAAAAGUUCACGUAAACUAAAAUAUUAAAAAAACUACCUUUUAAAUAAAAAACAAUUUUAGUACCUCUUUUUCCAAAAAAAAAUAAAAAUUGGUAUCUGUGUUUAUUUUAGUAUUGUAUUACUUAUUCUUUUUUAUUUGAUUUAAAUUAUAAUAAAUUGUACAAAUCAUAUAUAGAAGUGAAUACCAACCGACGGGGAAAAUUUUAAGGAUUUAAACUAAAUUUAUGCCUUUCAAGAGUAAUUUUUUUUUCAUCCCUUUAUUUUAUGUCUUUUCUUUUUCCUUUUUUUUCCAGUUUCCUGGCACGUAAACGUUAAACAUCAAAUGAUAUAUAAUCUUCGCUUUGGUUUGAAGAUACAAAUUAUAAGCAUGGAUGCUGUUUUGCUGCAUUUAUGCAAGUAAGAGAUGAACAUAAACCAUGAUCAGUGGUCUUAUUUUCUCACAUGAAAUUGAUUUAGCGUUUGCUGUCACAUUUUCCUUCCUCUACACCUUUAUCCUUCCUUUUCAAGCUAGAAGAACAUUGGAGGCAAGACAACCAAAUCGAAAACAUGCAGGUAUCUAGAAAACCAUUUGGAUUUGUUGUAAGGUUGUAGACAAGCGCAAUUUCCUUCUCCUGGUCUGGCCAAUGAUGCCUUUGAAAUACUGCUUCAAAACUUGGUGAAAUUCCAUUACGUACCAACCCAAAUUCAGUUGUCUUUAGCUGACUUCCGGGGCACCUCGUAAUCAUAGUAAUGAUUUAAUGUAACCAUAUUCUUCGUCUUUGAAGAAACUUGAAUCAUCCUGGCUCUUAAAUUUUCCUCGUCAACCAACACCUUGACAUUUAUGCCCGCCCUUUAAGUCUUAACAAGUCCCGGAAGCUUGUGCAGCCUUAACCUGUAAAGAAUUUCAAUGUUGAAGCCUCCUCGGGGCAUUAAUGAGAAUUAGACAGAAUAAGGUAAACCAUAAUGCGGUCAGAGCUAGGCAUGGAAGUCUAGAAUUUUGUUGGGUAAUUUUCAACAUUAACUAAGAAAACUAGCAAGAUGAUGAUCUUCAACAUAUUCUGUGCAGUCAGCAAUCUGCUAUUUUUAAUCUUGAGAACCAGUCAAGGAGAGUGUUGCCAGGAACAUCUAUAUAAACCCAACUAAAUUCCAUCCCAAAUUCAGAUCAUCCAACUAGCUACAUCUCAUCUUUUCUAGCUGCAUAUUAAUUCGAAUACAGACAAUAUAGAGAUGGCCAUUACCAUGAGUUUUGGUAAAGGGUUACUUAUCCUUCUCCUAACCUUAGUAGCCACCUUGGCAAUUAGCCAAGCUGAAACGGUUGUUGUUGGAGGCUCAGAGGGAUGGCGCUACGGCUACAAUUACACUGAUUGGGCCUUGAAACACGGUCCCUUUUUCCUUAACGACACACUAGGUUAGCCUUGCAUUAUUGUCAUCACUUGAAAUUUUUAUCAGCUGAGUCAGAAAAUCUGAUUCAAUCCAAUUUUGAUGUACACUCGUUUUUUGAUUCUAGAUUAGGCGACCCAAAUUGUAUAAAUUUGGAUUGGAUUUUCGAAAUCUACUAACUAAUUGUGCACAUUAAUCUGCUUGGGGACCUUAUUUAGUACAAUGUAAAUGUCAUUAACAACUGAAUAUUACUGUUUAAUUAAUGGUUUGAUCUAACGUUAAUUGUUGUGGUGGUGCAUCAGUGUUCAGGUAUCCUCCUCCUAACGACACCGUGAAGCCUCACAGUGUGUACCUGCUACCAAACCUCUACAGCUUCUUGACAUGCGAUUUUAAGGCCGCAACCCUGGUGGCACCUCCCAAUCAAGGAGGUGGAGAUGGGUUUUCGUAUACGCUGAGUCGGGUCAGGCCUAACUACUUUGCUAGCAGAGAGGGAAAUGGCGAUGACUGCACCAAAGGAUUGAUGAAAUUUGCUGCCAUUCCUCUCUAUCGUCCUCCAUUCCCCUGAUGUGUUUUCAUUAAACCAACAAUCAGCCAACAUAUGGUUAACUGAGCAGUGAUCUAGCUUAAGAUUUUAGCUUGGAGUACUAUUUAUUGUACGGAAUGAAUAAAUGCUGCCAGAAAAAAAAAAUAUAUGAGGCUGAGCACAAUCGAAAUUAAGAGUGGAUACACAUAUACUAGUUCUUUAUUUCAGUUCUGUACUCAAGUGAUACGGUAAUGAAACAGAAAUACAAGCAAGCUACAUGCGUGCAGCUUUUCUCGUGUUACAUGCAUCCUGUUGAUAAAUAUGGUCAUGGGUUUUCAUAUUUUCACUCCCAACUUCUUGUCAUAUGCUUUUCACACUUGAGAUCCCAUUCUUGAAUGUAUCUACAGCAUGUCACUGUUUUUGGUAAAAAGUAACGUAUGUUUCUAGAGCAACGUUUUUCAGACUUGAGAUAUUGAACCGACAGCCUACGUCUCUGUUAAUACCGUUUAGAUGACCGGCAGUGGGACGGCUGGAGACAUUCCUGAUGGUAACAUUCUCCAACAUCGGUCUGUGAAAUAAAUUCUCAAAUUCUUGACCUUAUCUUGAUUUUUCAAGGUGCCUGCAUGAUAGAUGUCCCGGUCAUUGUCUGACGAAUAAAGAAGAGCCGACGACCGAAGGCUUAGAUAUUUGGUUAAGCCCAAAUAGGCAAAACAAGAGCACCCUGCAUGAAAUUAUUGUCUAAGCCUGAACUGAGGUAUGACUUUCUUGGUAUCUACUCUCCAUUUAUCAGGCAGAAAAAGAAUGACCCAAUUAUUUUCCUUUUUUUUUUUCUUUUGCCAAAAUUCCAAGGCAGUGUUUAAAAGCUGGCUGGCAUAACCGUGAUCAUCUUAAUUCCCAAGUUGAAACGAGAUACUAAACAAGUUGGAAAGACUUUUCCUUUUGGGUUUUUUUUUUUUUACUUUGCCCAAAUUCAUUCUUUUGAGUCUUCAAUUUUAUCGAUUAUGCACCAUUGAGAUCAAAAUUGGCUGAUAGAUUUUAGUGCUCAUAUUGCAACCACAAAGGAGAAAGAAACCUUGUGGUGGCAGGGGGCAGCUACAAUUCUCUAGGUGCCCAAAUGGGCAUUGAUGCAAAAUUUUAUCAAGGGCAAGUAGUGUUGUUAUUAUUAUCGUUAGGAAAAAAAAAAAAAAGUAGUGUUGUUAAAGCCUGGUACCACAAAGCAUGGUGGCCGAAACAGGAUGUUGGUUUCACACUGACUCUGGCUGUUGAGCACGUUUACAACAUGGAGCUUGCCACCCUUAAAUUAAGUUUGAAAUUGAAAGAAAAGUACAACUCAAAGUGGGAACUGGGAACAGCGAGCUUUCCGUCAAGAGCAUGCCAUGAGAGAGGGGCUUUAACUCCCUCUUUGGGUUGUAGGUGAGAGUUCAAAUUUCACCUGUAACGAAAAAAAUUUAAAAGUUGUGUCAGUAUUUUUUUGGUUUAAUUGAAUCUGUAUAUCCACUAUCUCUCUAUCACGACUUUCUUCGGCUCCCCCUUCCCCUUUAGAUUAAGAUAAAGCAGGUUAUACAAAUGUAUCGUUGCUGGAAGAAAAAAAAAAAAAGACUAAGGACAAGGAACCUGUGGCCUUGAUCCCACCACGAUUUUCGAGUUUCGACCUUCCAGGAGCCCUCCCCCGUAAUAAUGAUUCCUGUCUUUUCAUGUUCCGUUUUUUAGUUUGGUCAAAUUAUCAAUGGGAAAUUUGCCAAAUUAGUCCCUAACAUUUUCACAAAAUACUUUUUUAGUCCCUAACAUUUAAAAUCAACCAGAAUAGUUCCUAACAUAUAAAUUAUGAGCCAGUUUGGUCCUAAUGCUCGUAUUUGCUCUUUUUUCUGGCUAAAAAUAGAACACCGGCGUAAUUUCAAGGGCAAAAUCGGAAAAAUUCGCUAAUCCAUAAUUUUGCAGUCCUCAAACUCUUCCACCGCUUCUUCAAUUGAUUCUCAACCUACUGCUACUAGGAUGGAGAAUUAACAAGAAAAAUUGAAUGAAAAGACAGAAAUAUCAAAGACACCAAAAAGAAGUUUCAAGAAAUAUCAAAGCCACCAAGAAAAAGUUUCAAUCUCGAACAGAAGAUUAAUGGGAAAUCUACUAGCCUGGCUACAGGCUAUGACAACAGGGUCAAUCAUGAGUUGUCCAGAAGGUGGAAAAUUAAGCAAAAGGCUUUGUGGGUUAGAAAGCUUCAGCUUCAAUUCUUUCAAACAAGACAGAGCCUGCAUCUGUCACAAUCAGCGGCUUCCAAUGCAUAAUCAUCUUCUUCCACAAUACUCUGUACCAAUAUCUGCAGUUCCCUCAUAUUGAUUGCUCAAAUUUGGUAAGAAAGCUGUUGAAGCAUUUUGGCAAGUCCACAGGCUAUCUUUGCUUGAACGGAGCCCAUAUUCCUCCGUCUCUAUUCAGCCAUUGACCCAAUCUCUUCUUCUGCUUCUGACUUCGUAAAAUCAUCCGUCCUUGCUCCUCUUAACCAAGGAAUCAGCAACAUGGGUUCUCUCAGGCAGCUAUGGUUAUUGAGAAGAAUACCCUUUUCAGUUUGGAAAUCUCUGAAUUCGAUAUCAAUUUCAACAAAGAACUCAUUUUUAUCUUCUUAUUUGGCAAAUAAUUCUCUGCACCUUCUUAAACCCACAAAGCCUUUGGAGAGCUUCAACAAAAGGGUGAGAAUCAAUUGAAGAAGUGGUGGAAGAGUUUGAGGGAUGCACAAUUAUGGAUUAACGAAUUUUUCCGAUUUUGCCCUUGAAAUUACGCCGGUGUACUAUUUUUAGCCGGAAAAAAGAACAAAUACGAGCAUUAGGACCAAACUGGCUCAUAAUUUAUAUGUUAGGAACUAUUCUGACUGAUUUUAAAUGUUAGGGACUAAAAAAGUAUUUUGUGAAAAUGUUAGGAACCAAUUUGGCAAAUUUCCCAUUAUCAAUUGGUCAUUCACAUUAUCACUUGCGGUUCAUAAAUGCUUUCAAAUAUAAAAUGCCCUCAAAACACAAAAAGAUAUAAAAUGUCCUAAUGCCAUUUCUAGAUAAAGUGUAGCUCCUAGCUAGGAAACAUGCCAAAAAUUAACCCCAAAAAGAAGAAGAAAAGAAUGAAAAAAGAUAUUUAUAGUUCUCAAUUAAAUGAUCAUCACAAGAUGAAACUCUAAAAUUAUAAUCUCAUCUAUUCUCACGGAUCAAUUAGAUUUUAUAAUUGAUUCAUAAUGGGAGUCAUAUUAAUUUUUUUUAGUGCUAAUGAAAUAUCUUAAACUGGAGACAUCUCACUUAUCUUCCAUCUUUUCCGACCAUCCAAUCCAUCCCUCCUCUUAAAUUAUAUUAAUAUAAUUCACCUGUAUUAUGUAGCUACAUAAAAUAUUGGUUGUGUGGUUCGCCAUCAAUUAUUAUUAUUAUUUUUUUUUUUUUUUUGCUUUUUUUAAGAGCUGUAACGAUGAGUAUGUAUGUGAAACAUUGAUCAUAUAACUAAGCGCGCACUACGCAGUCUAAAAUGCAUAUCGUCAACCAAGUUGUAUGUGUAUGCUUCCUAAGAAUUUGAGAUUGGCAGCUAAAUGCUGCUAAGUAAAUGGUUCCCAGUUAAGAUGCACAGAAAUGGUAAACUAUGUAUGCUCGUUUGUUCAAUGGGGAGCUGCAGGGUUCAUGUAUUUGUUUUCAAGAUAAGAGAGUGACUUUUCCUCGCCCUCUCUUUAGCUGUCACUGUAGCUUAGAGCCCAUUUGAAUUGCUGUUUUCUAGAGUUGUUGUGAAAAAAUAUACCGUAGUGAUUUAAUGUACAUGAGGUAAAAAACUGAAUAAAAAAUGAGUUUACAGAAAAUGUAAAAAUAUUUUGAAAAAAAAAAAAAAAAAAGACAACCAAAGCAAGGUCUAACUUUGUAGUGAAAUAAAAUUUAUGUAUGAGAGAUCAGAUACCCAUGAAAAUGCAUAUUUCCGACAGAGAUGGUCCUUUCACUAGUGUAAACAACUUCCUCAAUAAUAAUUUAUUUUAUACACUUCCAAAAGCCAAAAAAUAAUGAGCAGGAUGCAACCUGCAACUCUGUUUGUUUUAGAUUCCAGCAAGUUUUAAGUACAGCAUGUGUAACCAGGCGAAAAUGCGAUUUUUGAAGGAACUCAUGCAGGAGCUUUGAACUCAUUCCGAGUGUGACAAAGUUUUACCCUUCUUCCUCUUGUGGCUAUGAAGCAGGACAAUUGCAAAAUAAUCUUUUAGCCCCCUUGUAUUUGCUCAAAGGUGGCGUACAUUUAUUUUUUCUAAUUUCCAGGGGCUGGUUUGAAAUGCAAUUUUCAAGAAGGUGCCUAAAGGGAAAAAAAUAUCGAGAGACCACAAUAUUGUGUUUGGAUUGCAUUUUUCAUGAUUUUUCAUAGAAAAAUUACUGUAGCGAUUUGAUGUAUGUGAGAAAAAAAAAGGUAAUAGAUAAAUGUGAUCACGAAAAAUAACGUAAUUUUCUGACAAAAAACUGCAAUCCAAACAAGUCCUUAAUAAGCAUUUUAUUUAUUUUUUGUCAAAUCAUAAAUCUAAUCCCAGAACAGUCCUCAAAAGCCGGCAACUCUUGAGGAUGUCCCGAGGACUUAUAACCUAAUAAGCAUUUUAUUAGCCGAACAAGAAAGUAGAGUCGUCCUACAUUUCCAGUUAAAGUAUUUAGCCAUCGUGUCCAAGAUUCUGACUUCAAUCUUGGCCUCAAAUAAUGGAUAAAUAAUCUAAAGUAAGCACAAUGAUACGGCUUAGAAAUUGGAAAUGGAAUUGGGGAACAAAAAAAAUAAAGGUUUUCCCCAUUAAUCAGGUUCACGUGAAAGAUAUUGCUAAAAUAAUUAAAACCACCAUGCCUUCCAACUCGAGGCAUUCAGAAUUUUUUUUUUCUUUUUUUUUUUAACUAAUCGUGAGAAUAUAAACAAAUUAAUUAACAGCAAAUUGAGUAAUAACAACAAGCAUCAUUAAUCCUCGUGCUAAUGAAACCCGGAGGAAGUUGCCGAAAACGACGAGGCAACAUACUCCCUAACCUCCCUGGCGAUCACAUUUCUCAUUGCAUCCCAAAACCCCGCCGGCAAGUUCUCCUCCGCCCCCAACCCGGGACCCCUAUACAUCCCAGGCGGCGCUAAGGACAACGUCGUCAUCGGGUCGGACUCAUCGUAGUCGGUAAAAGGAACCACCCUGGAAUUCACCCUCGAGGUCGAGGUAGCAGUAAUAUUAUUGUUACUCUCGGGAAAUGGCACAAAUCCCGAGAACUCAUUCUUGACAUCAGCAGCAAUGUCCAUUGCUUCCGUCAUUUGGUUCUCUUGCUGUUGCUGAUGAUUUGUCUCUUUUUGUUGCUGAUAUCUUCUUUUCAGCGUCGAGUUCCAGUGGUUCUUGACCGCAUUAUCUGUCCGACCGGGGAGCAACCGAGCAAUGGUUGCCCAUCUAUUCCCGUAUUUUGCAUGAGCAGCUAAGAUGGUGUCGUCUUCCUCCGGCGAAAACGGCCGGUGUUCAACGCUAGGACUCAGCUGGUUGCACCAUCUAAGCCUGCAAGAUUUUCCAGACCGCCCCUUUAUGUAGUUGCUAAUCAAGGACCAGUUUCUAGCCCCAUAUUUCUCUACUAGGCGGGUUAGGAUCUUGUCCUCCUCCGCACUCCACGGCCCUUUUAUCCUCUCGGACCUGCUAGCAUCUCUUGGUGUUUUACCGGACAAAGAAGAAUCAGAAGACGAUGAAUCAGACGAGGAAGAUGUUGCAGAUGAGCACCUGUAGAAACUAUCCAUUUCAAGAAUCUCUGUUUCUAGCUAAAGCUGAAUACUGAUGCAGCUCCUUUUUUUUUUUUUUUUGCGAUGCUCAAUGGAUCGCUCGCUAGCUAGCUAGAACAGUCGUAUGUUGUGGUUUGAGUAUUUAGUAAACUGGGGUUGGGGGAAGAAAGUGACAUAUAUACACAUAUAUAUAUCUGGAGAGAGAGAGAGAGAGAGAGGGGGGGGGUAUAGGAGGGCAUGUAUAAAAACUAAUAGGAGUACAAAAUUAAGGUGCCUUAGGGAACAGGGAAAUUGGGGUGCAUGCAUUUGAUUUUGGCAUGGCUUUUUAGGCUAAAGGUUCUGCGGGGAGGGUUCUUGGAAAUUGCCUUGUGUAAAGUUGGUAGGGACAUUAACUAUUAAGUAGAGAGAGAGAGAGAGAGAGAGGCUGCUUAGAUUAGAUGCGCCACAAGUGGUGCUGGUCGCGAUAAUAUUUUUGCUGAUUUUGGUUUCUGCUAGCAGAUUUGUCGCGGCUGGUUCUGUUUUGUCGUUAUUAUUGGUAAAAUGACAAAUUUAUCUACGGAAAGAUACGAAAGGAUUUGGGGAAUGAGAGGUGAUUAGCACUUCGGCCUUGCGAAAUCCUCAAGAAUUUUUAGGUUUCAACGUUGGGUUCAUUGAACCGAGUGUACUUAGUACGAGUUUGGAUUUUGUCUUCUGGUCCAGAUACAGGAUUAAAUCAUUCGACUUCAUGGAUAUGAAUCGUGUACGCUGUCCGUACAACAAUCCACCACAGGGUUCUUUUACAUUACUCCGCUAAUGGAUGAGAUCAAGAAUUAAUAUGACUCCAUAGAAUGCUACUACAACGGUACAUGAUUUUACUCUUGACAUUCAAGAUUUUCACCCCAAAAAAAUUUUUUUUUUCACAACAAUAUCUGAAGUAGCUCACUACUUGUGUCAUUCAAGUUCGAGUUUUGGCAUUAAAAAAGAAGUUCUAACUCUUAUUAUUUUACAAAUAAUCAGAUUCGAGAUAAUCUGUGAGCGCUUCCAUAAGUAAUUGUGUUUGGAUUGCAAUUUUCUGAAAUUUUUGUAAAAAAAUGUAUUGUAAAAAUUUAAUAUAUAUAUGAAAUAACAAAAUGAUUGAAAGAUGUAUUUACAGAAAAUAUAAAAAUUUUUUUGUAGAAAAUUCCUUUCUAAAUAAGGCUAAUUUUGAAAGUAUGCCUUAACCUGUCUUCAUAACGGGAUUGAAAUUAUUCAAAUUUUUGUCUAUCAAAUGGAAGGAAAAAAAAAAAACCAACAAACCACCACGGCCUUCCACGUUAGUGUCUAUGCAAAAGAAACAAUUGGACAAGGCUCAAAUAAUAAUGUUACGCUGAUUUAGAAAAUUGCGUGGAUGGUACCAUCUCAUGUGCGCUACAAAUUUCAACAGAAAUUGUAGGAGUAGUAUAUGAAAAAUUACGCAUUUAUGGAAGGAGGGCAGAAUUGGUAUUUGAAGUAGUAUAUUCCAUUUACAUACAAAGAGGACAGAAAACUACUAGUAAUAUGAUAGUAUACACUUUUAAUAAUCAUUCUCGCAGAACUACUUAUACUACUGGCUUUCAAUCUUAACAGCAGCGUUUAAAACAUGACAGUAAAGAAGGAGCUGUUUAACAUUCAUUCUUCGGCAUCAUUGAUCGUACUAGCAGUAAAGUAGUACUAACAAAUAAUAAUAAUGGUCACGCGCCAUUUUUUUCCUGCUAACGAAACCAAUACCACUGUGAAAGCUUAAAAUCUAGUGGGGGACUGGAUUUAGUAAAUAAGUGAAAAACGCCAAGUGGGGCCGCUCUUUUUGACUAAUUUGCAGACUUACAGCUGUGAUUCUCCAAUCCAUAGCAUCAGUCGCUAUAACAAACGGCCCUGAUCAACCGCUGUUUGGUUAAAAAACAAAAAGGUUUAUCUUAGCCAGUUUGAGGAUGACUUCGGCGACUUCCACGUACGAAGGUCCCACCCACAGCCUGGAAGAAUCUCACGUGAUACGAGUUUGAAUCGCUUUGACUUCAGAGGGCUAUCCAUGAAUAGCUCUUGGCCCCACUCGCCGUUAUGGAGCGUGCCGCUUAAGUGCUAGUACUGGUAAAAGUAAAACCGCCAUGGAUAUUUUUGAAAGAUGAUAUGAAUUUGGAACCUUCGAUAUCAAGUGUGUUUGGAUGGGGUUAAUAAGUGCGCUUGGAUAGUUAAAUUUUUUUAAAAUAAUAUUUUUCUUGUGUCGUGAAUAUAUUUUUUAAUAUAUUUUUUAUAUUUUCAAUCACCUUUUUAUAUCAUAUUUAAAAAAUAUUACAAUAAUUAUUUUAAAUAAUACUCUAUCCAAACACAUAUACUGUGGUACUUUCUAUGAUGUAAUAUAUGCGACAUAAAAAGAUGAUUGAGAAGAUAAAUAUGUGUUGAAAAAUUAUCAUAUCUAAAAAAUAUUACAGUAAUUAUUUUAAAUAAUACUAUAUCCAAACACAUAUACUUUAGUAUUUUUUAUGAUGUGAUGUAUGCGACAUAAAAAAGUGAUUAAGAAGAUAAAUAUAUGUUAAAAAAUGUAUUUACGAUGCAAGCAAAUAAUUUUUAUGUAUAUAAUGCCUAUCUAAACACACGUACUGAUGAUCAUCCAAAUUAACAAGCUGAUUUUACGCUUUCUUCGAAUAAUUAACGUUCUGACAUUUAAACUAUAGGGAAAAAAACACGAGCUUAAAGUUUCUGUAUCAAAAUUGUCAAUCAACUUUGACAUACAAAAAUGUAUAUACGAUGAUCAUCUCAUAGAAAAUACAUCAUAAUUUUUUUUUAAAAAAUUCUACCCAAAAAGCUGGUCUAAACUUAAAAUGUAGACUUAAUAACAAGAGGAGAGGAACACAACUGUGGAUUAAAGCAGAGUGAGCGCUGCUUGAUGGAGCUCUUUUUUCUCUCAACUUGAUUCUGGAUCUGGUUACAGUUCUCAAAGAGUUGCAUUUGUUGAAAUCGGAGCAAUGAUGCAUCUUAACUUUAAUUAGGCACGGAUCAUGCAAUUUCUUGGCAUAUUAGCCCAACUUGCAUGUACUUUUGCCACUUUUUUCUACGUGUUUCCAAAAGUUUAGGUGCAAAUUAGCGUAAAAGGGACAGUAAAUUGUAGUCCUCCAGCUAGCUCGCUAACUAGAACCAGAAGCAAAAACACACAGCUUCCAAAGGAUUAAAUUGAUUCUUGAAGGUGAGGCACACAGGCUGCGGCUAAGUGAGUGAGUGAGCGAGCGUGCGCGCUCCGUGAUCAGAAGUCUGAACGCGGAAUGUCAUGAUGAUUACUCUGGAGCCGCCCACGUGGCAGAAUUUAGGGGGCAGUUUGGAGUGUUGUGCGAUGGACAUGAUUUCAGAAGCAGAUGAAACCAAAAGCAAGCAGUUGGGUUUGGCAGUUGAUAUAAUUUGCGGUCCGAACAGCUGGCUGCCAUCUCACCGACUGGUUGUACGGUUCCCAUAAACGACGAAACCACCUGAUUGCUUCACUCCGCUGUAUCCAUCGGACGGUGGUUAUUGUCCAUUGUCUGGUGUGAUUGAACGAACAGCAACAAUGGGCCCUUCAAACUUUCCACUGAUUGAUUGGCGCUGUUUGAUCAAUCAUGAUGGUUACCAGUAACUACUCGUCUACGAACUAGUACUCUUUUUUUUUUUUUGCCUCCUAAAACGUUUGGAAAAAUUCAACUUCGAUCAUCGUCAUAACAAACAUGCUAUUGACAUAAUAUAUUGCUUACAGAUCGUGUAUAAACAUAACCCUUGCAUUAAUAGUGGAAUUGAAAUACAGAAUCUGUUCUCAUUAAUUGAGCUAAUUUGUACAGACAUAAAUUAGUUUUUUUUUUUCUCUUGAGGAAAGUUGUACUGCUGUUACUUUCCACUCGACCAACGGAUUCUGGCCGUCGGAUUUGGCGCAAAAUGUACAAUGAAGGUGGUCCACAGUGUUCCCUUCCAACCUAUUUGCCGGUUUCCUUUGGCCGUAUAGGAGUAUAACAUUUGUAUGGCAAUCAGCGUUUCCGCGUGGGCAUUGUGCAGUAGGAUGUUGUACAAUUUUCGUUUUCUAGCCACUCUUUCGGAAAAUGGUCAACUAAAUUUGGUUAUGGUUGUUAGAUCUUUCUCUCUUACGAGCAAAAUUUUAGUUGUUGUUUUUACUCGAGGUCUAGUCUUCGAAUAGUGUGCUGACGUCCCCAUCAUAUGUGAGCUGUACGAAAACUGGUAACGUGUCAAAUAUCGCAUGAGUGCAAUCAGUUUUGCCUGAAGAAAAAUUUUCCAGGCGAACAUCAGAAAAAGUGGAUUUAAUUUGUUCAGUGUUUAGGCCUACAGCCUGUCCAAAAAUAUCUCAAUGGCUAAACAAGUGAUUUUAGCUAGGGUAGUCAUUGAACCGAAUCGAACGAGCAAUUCGGUCUAAAACUCUACUAGCACUCGAGUUGAUCGAGUUCGGAUAGUUUAACGAGUCAAGUUUGAGUAUCCAAUAAUAAGACUUGAAGACUCAUCGAGCUUAAUCAAAUUUUUUAAUUUUAAUUUUUUAAUAAUAAUAAUAAUAUUAUUAUUAUUAUGAAAUCACCCGUGUGUUCGCAGGAGUGGUUGAAUUUAUCAAAUGUUUUAGGUUGUAUAAAAAUUUUUGAAGGGUGAUAAUGUUUUUUUGCUCACAAAUUGUCAAAAAAAAAAUGAAAUUCUCAAAUCUCCUUGAUUUGAGUUCGAUGAGGCUUGUUUGGACUCCAACUUAUGUGAGUCGAAUUCAAGUUCUAUGAGCAAUGUAUCGAACUUGAACUCGAACUCCAGUAAUGCUACUCGUCUGAGCUUGUACUUGAGUAUCCUUCUUACAAAUCGAAUUGAGCUUGAAUACAACGAUAUUUGAGUUCAAUUCGACUCGAUCACAUCCCUAAUUUUAGAGCCUUCUUGCUAUCAUAUCCAAGAUUUGAGUCUUGAAUUUGGCCCUUUAGCGAAAAAGUGUGGGGGUGAAAGGAAUUAAAAAAAAAAAUAGUCUGCCCAAAAAUCCUUUUAAAUUUUUCAUGCCAAAAGAGUUGAAUAAGCAUCCGAUUGUUGUUCAAAUUGUGAACUAUAAUAUGGUUUUUCCUAUUAAAUUUAGUUCUUCGAAGUUGAAUUGUACUAGGCACUGCUGGCACUCUCUCUACUUGAGUCCCAGGCCAUUACAUUUUUUUUUUUUGGGGUAGUCCCAAACCAUAAGUUUAUUGUCGAAUAAAAAAAUUCAAUCAAUUUCUCGAGGCACCAAUGCUAGGCUGCAGUUGCCGAUUUCAUUAGCCAUGGACAAUGAAACUAGAUUAAAAUCAUAGCCGUUUUACCUGAAACUUUAACUUUGUUUCUAGGAGCACUAUUGUAAAGUUAAAUAGCAUUUCUAGAUCAAGAGUUUAGGUUUGCUGAUGAUGAAAAUUCACCUUCUCUUUUUCAACCAAGUUGAAGGAAUCCAAACAAAACACCGGCUCAAAGGUGACAGAAGUUGGAAGUAUACUUUAAAACUUCAUUGUCGUCCAUAAAGUACAUGACUAUAAUUAUAAUUAGUAUUAUUUUUGUAAGUAAUUAUGAUCAUUGUUGUUGACAGCCUUACUUUGUCCUGGUGUUUUUGUUUUAAGAUUUUGGUCCUAGUAUUUUCUCAUGAUAAACAAAUACAUUUAUGGGUGAAUGAAUCUCGCUGAGCUCAACUACUGCCCAACUAGAAAAUAUGAAAAAGGAUGCAAAAUUGCCAUUAUCUCUAACUCUUACAUAAUUAUCUCUUCAUCUGUCCCAACCAAACAUGUAUAGUUUGACAAGGAUAUCAAAAUUGUUCAAUUAGGCACGCCACAUAAGAGUGAGAAAUAAUUCUAAUUAAAAUAGUUACUUUCAUACAUAUAGUAACUAUUUUAAUUAGAGUUAUUUCUCAGUUCUAUGUGGCGUGCCUGAUUGAAAAGAAUUAACGGGUUAUGGGUCAUUUGAAUUUUACCCAUAUUGAAUAUUAUAUUAUACGUUUAAAAAUUAUCUCAAAUUUUAAAAUAAUUUUAAAAAACAACUAAUCUUAUCUUAAUGAUAUCUAAAAUAAUUUUAAAAAAUAACUAAUCUUAUCUUAAUACUUUCUAUGAAAUUAUUACAUACAACUAUAGUAAAACCUUUUUUUUAAAUCACAAUUAUUAAAAUCUUAUGUGUUCCAUAAAUUGCUUUCUUUUUCCACUAUAUCAUUGAUUAGUAUUCAAAUUGUUCAUCAUUUCUUCCCUUAAUUUUGAAUUAACUGAAUACAAAAAAGAGAAUUAACUGUUACACCGAGCAGGACGAGUAGAAUGACUUGACUCUGAAGAUGAAACCUACUUGAGAAGUAGUAAUUAGCUUAGUUUAUCUUUUCAGAUUCAUGAAUGAAAUCCAUUGUAUAUACUAAUGUCAGUACUUUCCAUUAAUUAAGAUGUCAAGAUGUUUCCUCUGCUCCUUCCUUUACACACCAGCAUUAAUUCUUUAAUAAGUUGGGGUAUCCGCAGAUGGCAACAGCCCAGAACAAAGGUUUUCAAAGCUGUUGGUUCUAAUCAAGCACUUCCAGCUCACAAAUGUCGCAGAUCUAGACAUAAUUCGCAAUUAGCUCUUCCAUCACUGCAUUGGCCAUUCAUUACCAAGAAGGUACUUAACCAAAUCUGGAAAUCUCUUAUCUGAUUUUCUCUCCCAUAUCAGGAAUGUGCAUUGAACAAUGCCAAUCAGACAAAACAGAUAAAAGAAGAAAAUCAGUUUUGGACAAUUAUCUGAACCCUCAUAUCAUAUCCGUAGUGUUUACUCUUUAAUUCUCCCAUAUUUUGUCGCCUGGAUUGGGGGCAGUCGUGUUGCACACCACAUGGAACCUAAAAAUCUUCUUUGUAAAUGUAGUAGUACUACAUAAAUAAUAAGGCCUUUCGUAUCGUACUAUAGUAUAAUCUGCCCUAUAUUUGCAUAGAAAGUUCCUGGAGUUAUUUCUUUCUUGAUUACCAGUUUGUUAGGAUAUUUGGAUCAUUGUUAAGUCCAGUAAUCAUACUACGAUCUAAUAUUUGGCGACAGUUUUACAUUUCUCCUUGUAGGAAAAAUACCAAAAAAUUGAACACAAACAAAUAACAAGAGAUUGUAAUGGCACUUACAGCAUCAAUUCUGUGAUUUGUCUCAUCUAAUCUAGUAGUAACAACCAUUAGACAGAGGAAGCCUUUACUGUAGCUUGCUUCCCUUGUUGACACGUGGCCCCUGAAUGGAGGGCUUGCCAUCUUUCGUUCCGCUGCUUCCAGUGUGUCUGCAAAAGGUGAAAGGCAAAUUGGACCGGGAUGUGAUGGAUGUAUUCAGCCCCAUAUAUGGGGGUGCCCAGUGAUUCUUUGUUGGGCUUUGAAGUUGCAAGAGGUGAAAUUCUGAAUGAUUCGUGGUCGAUGUUAGGAUGAAAUAUGGAGCACAGCAACCCAACAUAAACUCGCAUGCUUCAGGCUUCAUAGACAGCUAACAACUAACAGAGGAUCUCAUGCACAAAAAUGAGGAUCUCAACAGAAGAGGAUGAAGUUGUUUCUUACAAAGCACAACAACUAACAGAGGAAACUUUCCAAAUCCUGCAGCAAAAAGAACUCCCAAAGAUGGACAAGACAACCAAAACUGCCACUAUUCAGUAAACAAUUCCAAAGGACAAUUUUCUGGGCUACAUCCAGUUUGAAUCAGAAAAUCAGUUGCAAAUUGCACGCUCAACUAGCAAAAUUUUUCUAAACUCGAUUGUUUACCAUACUCUCUAUUGUCCACCGGAGAUGGUGCUAAUGGGACUAACGUAGCUUGGAUAAACCUGCUGUAUUUCAAAGAAAUUAAACAUCUUUUCUGGUUUUUUUCUUCCAAGGGAUAGAUCUUCCCACUUGAAAUUAAAUGAACCUGUUCAUCGUCACAAAAGCUAUCAUACAGUUGAUUAAAAAUGUGGAUGAAAAAUACCACAUCUAAGAUAUCAUACUUAUUAAUUGCCAAUUAUGGCAAAUGAAUGGAAUUUUCAGCUAUUAUCCAAAGCCACAUAAUAGGAAGGUUCAAUAACUUGUAAAAUUUUGAAGUCUUGCAUGUGCUUUUAACUAUCGUUUUUCAUCAAUUGAAUUGGUUUGACUGGUACAAGAUGCAAUUUCUCUUUGAUCCACUUGUUAUUCCUAACCUUAGUAAAGCUUCAUUCUUUGAGUACUAAACGAAUCGCGGUCUGACAAUAUUAUAAAUACAUACAUUUAGCCAUAGUUAUUAAACUCGGAUUGAUUUGGUGACCCAGGCAUCAGACCAGAUUGGAUCUCUAGUUAGAUCGGCCAAGAGAUUGAUUCGGACAAAUCCAUUUCACCCAACCAAGAACCCAUUCGGUUUUUCAAUUGACCUGGUCUUUCUCUCUCUCUCUCUCUCUUCAAUCAUGGUUUUUUGUUUUCGAAACAAAGUGUACAUGUGCUUUUGAUAAUAUUUCUACAUUGGAUCUUCAAUUAAUCUCUUGACUUCAUCGGGUCCUCUGUAUAGCAAAAAAGAGGAGAGGACAAUAGCUCCAAAGAAUCUAUGGGCAUGUCUAUUCCAUCUUUGUAGUUACUUGCUGAUAGCCAUUGGUGAAGCAGUCGUAACUGUUAUGGUAAUUAUUAAGCGGCAUCACUUCUGGCCUAACCUCGUCAAAGCUGCCCACCACCAACACCAACCCGUCGACAAGCUCGGCUUGGCGUUAUGCGUUUUAGUAUAUUUCUUCCCUGGGAUGUUCACGACCAUCGUAUUUAUGGCCCUCGCUCCGCUGUUAAAGUCUUAGUUCACCUGUGCAAAUCGGUUGCCCAGAAAAGAUCCCGGCCAUCCGUGGACGACGACCUGGAGAGCGGACCUAACGCAUAAAUAAACAAGUAAAUUAGUAGAUUGGAUUUAACUAAAGCAACUCAAAAUUAAUUACAUUAUUCAAGUUUGUUACAAAAUCAAAAUAAUAAGCUUCAACAAUUAUAAUGAUGAUUUUGAUUCGAUUUCUGUUAUCCUUUGGUUGCCUUUACUCAAAUACGGAAUUCCCAAGUCGAGCACACAAAGCUUUCUCGGGCUACUUGCACUUCUUAACAAUAGUUUGGCUGGCUAAACAUUUUCCAGUGAGCGUCUCCAUCAGAAUAAGUAGGCGCAAUAUACAGUUAAUUGUUGCGCAUCUCAAUGCUGGUCCUUAAUAAUCUGGUUGCAUUUGAAAUCACGAUGUCCAAGUGCAACAGCAAUCAGUAAUUUUUCCUCCUUGUUAUAUAUUGCCCAAAACAUCAAAUGCUGAGGAAUGAUGAGUGAACUUUGCAGUUUCACUGAUUUUUCUGAUCUUCUCUUUUGGGGUUUAGCUGAUUUUCUCUGUUGAAAUGCAAAACACGUAAAAGCUCCAAUAGGUAUAUGCUAUAUGUUAGCUGCAUCCAGUGCAACUGGAAUCGAGCACUAUUCCAUUCAGGGUUUCUGCAGAUUUUUUCCAUGGUGUCUAAUGUUUCAAACUGCAUGUGUCAGUUACAAGUUCAUAAUUGGUCGCAUACAAAUCAAUUUUAAAUAGUAUCAAGCAACUGAACUUGUGCGAUUUCAUUGAUGUUUGUAUCAUGUAUGCAUGUUCCUUUCAGAUGCACAAAUUAGAUACUCCCACGUAAUUACCAAUUGAUAAGUAGCAUAGCUAACAACACACCAGUACUGUCAAACUGAUAAAAUAGUAAAUCUUGAUAUGUAUUUUAGCUAACCAAUACCACAAGUCUUGAAUGAUCGUUCACAGGACUAAUCAAUAUAGCCCUUGAACUUGAAUACUCUGCACUGACAAACUCCACUAGAGAGUAGAGGCUAGAAAGUUAUACUUUUCUUGAAAUAAAGGUGCGAUUUUUCUGUAUAUUAUUAUUAGUUACAUACAUGCACGCUCGGAAGCGUACUAU
Molecule: long non-coding RNA, 44111 nt
Filed under: Coffea arabica (coffee)
Lineage: Eukaryota; Viridiplantae; Streptophyta; Magnoliopsida; Gentianales; Rubiaceae
Description: long non-coding RNA (CARA_LNC007007)
Source: RNAcentral